ACGCCUCUCCCUCCCUGCAGAUCAUGGCGCAUGGCGGUGACACCCCUUCCUCCCCUCCCCCUCUCUCUCAGGGCUAUUUUGCAGCGGCCCUCGUGCUCCUAGCGGCAGUGAGACAGGCGCGCAGCACCCCUGGCGAGAGUGAGGCGGGCCUCUUUGCGGGCGUGUGGGGCAGCGGCCAUGCUCUCCCUGGCCACGGCGGCGAUGGACACGCUCUUCUUGGCUGUGACAGCAUGGAUCCGACACGGAUUUGAUCCGGAGUCACAUGCAUCGGUGGUGACUAGAUCCGACGUCAUGGGCAUCAACUCCAGCGAUGGGGGUGGCUAGCGACUUGAUUCCGGUGGUUCGGCGAGGAUGCUGGCACCGACGAGUAGCGGGCACCUAUGGAUGGGCUCGGCGGGCUUGUGGAUGGGCUCGUUGGGCCUAUGCAUGUGUUUUUUUAUUUUUUUUAUUUUAUUUAUCGUGGCGAGCAUUUGAACCGCCUCGGUAAUUCAUUGAUUUAUUGUGAUCUUUCGACCGAGACGUUGCAAAAACCGCCUCGGUUAAUGUUUUUUGCCCGCCA
Sorghum bicolor (sorghum) is the source of this 559-nucleotide long non-coding RNA. RefSeq lists it as uncharacterized. The transcript has 2 exons. The record is from RefSeq and is a predicted model, not a curated record. NCBI's taxonomy places the organism in Eukaryota, Viridiplantae, Streptophyta, Magnoliopsida, Poales, Poaceae.